This 1208-nucleotide ribosomal RNA is filed under the name Triticum aestivum (bread wheat). RNAcentral describes it as "partial small subunit ribosomal RNA". Lineage: Eukaryota; Viridiplantae; Streptophyta; Magnoliopsida; Poales; Poaceae. The record is from RNAcentral.
GUCUACCAUCCUCCCUGGUCCCGCCAGCGCGCCGCCGCCCAGGCGCCACGGCCGGUGCCGCGCAGUCCACCCCUCAAGGCGUGCCCUCCACACCGCCACACACUGCGGCGUCCAGGCAGAUGUAUGCCGCCGUUGAUCCCCUUUUGGAUCUCGCCCGUGGCGCACCUUCUCCCCUCAACUUCGCCAAGAUCCGGCGAUCUACCCUCGAUCUGGUCUCCCGUCCACAACACCACCGCCGUGCCACGUCGCCACCUCGACUAAGCCAUGGUCAACGCGUCAAGAUCGGUCCGGCGAGCCAUCGCUGCACCGGGACGGGAUCCCCAUCCUCUCUUCUCUCUUCUCCGUUGACGGCAAGCGGGUGAGUACCCCUUUGCCCCCACCAUCAAUCCUCAUCUACCGGCGAGCACAGCUGGUAGCCGCCACCACAGAUCCAACCCCCGUUGUCCCCCUCCAUCUGCUUCCUUCCCCGACUGUGAGCUCACUCUUUGGCAGAAGAAAAAUCGCCCACCAUCUGCUCCUCGCUGCUCUCCUCUGCAUGGCUCAACGGUUGGCGGAAGCUCCGAUCCAUCUCAGGCAUCGACGUUCACCUGCAAUUUACUGUUUUGUGUUUUUCUGAAGAUAAAAAUUCAAAGUGCAGAUGUAGUCUGCUAAUGUUUGCUCUUGAGGUUCAGUUUAUUUAUUUUUGCAGGAAGAUGGUGCAGUUUGGUUGGAUGUCGUGUUGCAUUAUUUUUGCAUUUCCCUCGUCAUGCAGUUUGGACAGCGAGCCUUCCUCCAUGGUGCGUGCGUGUGUGCAAUCUGCGAUGUGUGUGUGUGCAGUGCAGCCUAUAUAAACCGUGGCCGUGCAGCUCAAACAAGCCCGCAAUGAAGUUCCGUGCUUGUGCCCGUGCUGUUCGAUGAACACAAGUUUUUUUCCGUGCUUGUGUCCGUGCUGUUCGAUGAACACAAGUGCACUACAGCUCCUGGAUGGUGGACUGCCGAAGGUGCGGUGCAGUUGACGGACUGUUGAAGUUUGCCUGAGUCUUCGUUGCAGUACGGCUAGGUGUCGAAAGUUGUUCUUUUGUUGAUUUUUCAGGUUUCCAGAGACUGCAAAUCAUUAUAAGUAAACAUCUGUGGUUCGCUCUGAAAAAAUUACGCGGGACCCCUUCUUUGUAAAAAGCAAUUUGUAUGGUACCCCAUUUACUUCGCUAAUUUGUCUGAUGCGGUUCGGA